This is a long non-coding RNA of Oncorhynchus kisutch (coho salmon), 1603 nucleotides long. RefSeq lists it as uncharacterized. Lineage: Eukaryota; Metazoa; Chordata; Actinopteri; Salmoniformes; Salmonidae. The transcript has 2 exons. The record is from RefSeq and is a predicted model, not a curated record.
UCCCUUUAUUUUUUUGAGCAGUGUAUCUUGCACGUGUUUUUGUCUUUUUGUGUUUAGAGUUUUGAAAGAAUGAGCCACUUUCAUUUUUUGUAAAGAAAACCCUUUAUCUCACUGAAUGUUUUUUUCCUGGUUUUCUCCUGUUGGGUAUAGAAAGUGUUACAUACAAAACACAAGUGUUCAAAAUACUGCAUUUUUGGAAAUAAAUGACAAUGUUACAGUAUUGCGUGUGUUUAUGUAUAUAUGAGUAGGUAUACAUUACUGUAACAAUCUUUUACAACCAGCUACAGUGUAACACUGAAAAGGAAUAAACCUACUGAUGGUAUAUUCAUAGUAGUGUUGAGCACAUCAGUGUGUUGUUGGUUCGUAGACAGAUCUAUUCAUAUGACGUGUGUGUCAUUUUGAUGCCAAAAAAAACAUUUUGUAAAGAAAAGUUUUGAAUGCAGUGUUUGCGUUUGCUAGAGAUUGGUAGAGUUUAGCAUUUUGUGUAUGUGGUUUUGUCUUCCGUUUGGGGGAAAUGGGCCAAAGAUUUAGCAAACUUGUGGAAAACUAACUGUGAGUGUAAAUCAUUGCAGAUCACAUAACAUUCCAUAAUAUCAACCGUGUCAUUAUGUCAACAGUGCUGCAUCUUGCGUCAACACCAACUUACAAUGACGCCGCUGUACAGGGUUCCAUUUGAGAGGAACACAGUUAGUCAAAGACCUUCACUAUGACUAUGUGCAAAGUCCUGGACUUUGAUGCAGCUGCACAGCCUCAUGAGUUCAUGUUCAUUGAUGAAGCUGGAUUCUAUCUAAAACCAGGCGUCAGGGCCGACAUGUUAUAGGACAAGGAGCCGUUGCGAAUGUCCCUGGGCAGCGCGGGGGAAAUAUCACAUUGUGUGCCACCAUUAGUCUGCAAGGAGUUCUCCAUCACCAUGCCACCCUCGGUCCCUACAAUACUGCACACAUAAUCAUAUUUCUGGAUGCACACUAUAAUGCAGCUGUGCAGGACGGACCAGAGCAGCCCAGGUUUGUUGUCAUCUGGGAUAAUGUUAGUUUCCACCAGGCUGCUCUGGUCAGGGAUAAUAACUUCACAGUUGUAUACUUGCCCCCUUACUCCCCAUUUCUCAUUGAGGAAUUAUUUUCGGCUUUGGCGUUGGAAAGUGUAUGACCGCCAACAACAUGCAAGCAAUGGAAGAGGCAUUUGGAGACAUUGAGGUGGGGUCAGUGCAUGGUUGGAUAGGCGAUUAUUUUCCCCGUUGCCUAGCCAGGGAUGACAUUGCUUGUGAUGUGGAUGAGGUGAUGUGGCCAGACCCUAACAGAAGGUGGGAUCCUGAAACCAUCUACUCCAUCCCUUACAAUCCUUUACAAUACUAUUUUUUGUUUACCAUUGCACUGUAAUUUUACUGUCAUUUUUGUUUGUGUUUACAGUAACAUAUUGUAUUAAUUACUGUAAUUCUACGUUGUGUUUUUUUGUUGUAAAAACCUGCAAUGGCAAAAAAUAGGUUGUACAUAUUUUUUCUGAAGCCUUUAUAUUUUUGUGUUCAUUGAAAUGUGUACUGUACUGGAACAAUCUGUCACAGAAGCCUGUAUGAGAAAAUAAAAAGGUACACAAAGUACUAAAGACA